GACGAACGCUGGCGGCGUGCCUAAUACAUGCAAGUAGAACGCACAGUUUAUACCGUAGCUUGCUACACCAUAGACUGUGAGUUGCGAACGGGUGAGUAACGCGUAGGUAACCUGCCUGGUAGCGGGGGAUAACUAUUGGAAACGAUAGCUAAUACCGCAUAAUAUUAAUUAUUGCAUGAUAAUUAAUUGAAAGGUGCAAUUGCACCACUACCAGAUGGGCCUGCGUUGUAUUAGCUAGUAGGUGAGGUAACGGCUCACCUAGGCGACGAUACAUAGCCGACCUGAGAGGGUGAUCGGCCACACUGGGACUGAGACACGGCCCAGACUCCUACGGGAGGCAGCAGUAGGGAAUCUUCGGCAAUGGACGAAAGUCUGACCGAGCAACGCCGCGUGAGUGAAGAAGGUUUUCGGAUCGUAAAGCUCUGUUGUAAGAGAAGAACGGGUGUGAGAGUGGAAAGUUCACACUGUGACGGUAGCUUACCAGAAAGGGACGGCUAACUACGUG
RNAcentral lists this ribosomal RNA (505 nucleotides) under uncultured bacterium. Its description in RNAcentral is "partial 16S ribosomal RNA". It matches the Rfam family "Bacterial small subunit ribosomal RNA", at positions 28 to 507 of the family's 1533-position model. The record is from RNAcentral.